Molecule: ribosomal RNA, 468 nt
Filed under: uncultured bacterium
Lineage: Bacteria
Description: partial 16S ribosomal RNA
Rfam family: Bacterial small subunit ribosomal RNA
Source: RNAcentral
GACGAACGCUGGCGGCGUGCUUAACACAUGCAAGUCGAACGGAAAGGCCCUGCUUUUGUGGGGUGCUCGAGUGGCGAACGGGUGAGUAACACGUGAGUAACCUGUACUUGUCUUUGGGAUAACUUCAGGAAACUGGGGCUAAUACCGGAUAGGAGCUCCUGCUGCAUGGUGGGGGUUGGAAAGUUUCGGCGGUUGGGGAUGGACUCGCGGCUUAUCAGCUUGUUGGUGGGGUAGUGGCUUACCAAGGCUUUGACGGGUAGCCGGCCUGAGAGGGUGACCGGCCACAUUGGGACUAAGAGACGGCCCAGACGCCUACGGGAGGCAGCAGUGGGGAAUAUUGCGCAAUGGGCGGAAGCCUGAUGCAGCAACGCCGCGUGCGGGAUGACGGCCUUCGAGUUGUAAACCGCUUUCGCCUGUGACGAAGCGUGAGUGACGGUAAUGGGUAAAGAAGCACCGGCUAACUACGUG